AUACUUACCUGGCAGGGGAGAUACCAUGAUCGCGAAGGUGGUUUUCCCGGGGUGAGGCUUAUCCAUUGCACUCCUGAUGUGCUGACCCCUGCGAUUUCCCCAAAUGUGGGAAACUCGACUGCAUAAUUUGUGGUAGUGGGGGACUGCGUUCGUGCUUUCCCCUA
This 164-nucleotide small nuclear RNA is filed under the name Saimiri boliviensis boliviensis (Bolivian squirrel monkey). RNAcentral describes it as "U1 spliceosomal RNA (ENSSBOG00000019401.1)". It matches the Rfam family "U1 spliceosomal RNA". From Rfam's summary of the family: U1 is a small nuclear RNA (snRNA) component of the spliceosome (involved in pre-mRNA splicing). Its 5' end forms complementary base pairs with the 5' splice junction, thus defining the 5' donor site of an intron. Lineage: Eukaryota; Metazoa; Chordata; Mammalia; Primates; Cebidae. The record is from Rfam by way of RNAcentral.